Molecule: ribosomal RNA, 425 nt
Filed under: uncultured bacterium
Lineage: Bacteria
Description: partial 16S ribosomal RNA
Rfam family: Bacterial small subunit ribosomal RNA
Source: RNAcentral
GUAGGGAAUCUUGCGCAAUGGGCGAAAGCCUGACGCAGCCAUGCCGCGUGAAUGAUGAAGGUCUUAGGAUUGUAAAAUUCUUUCACCGGGGACGAUAAUGACGGUACCCGGAGAAGAAGCCCCGGCUAACUUCGUGCCAGCAGCCGCGGUAAUACGAAGGGGGCUAGCGUUGCUCGGAAUUACUGGGCGUAAAGGGAGCGUAGGCGGAUAGUUUAGUCAGAGGUGAAAGCCCAGGGCUCAACCUUGGAAUUGCCUUUGAUACUGGCUAUCUUGAGUAUGGAAGAGGUAUGUGGAACUCCGAGUGUAGAGGUGAAAUUCGUAGAUAUUCGGAAGAACACCAGUGGCGAAGGCGACAUACUGGUCCAUUACUGACGCUGAGGCGCGAAAGCGUGGGGAGCAAACAGGAUUAGAAACCCGAGUAGUCC